UCAACCUCCUAAACGGCUAAGGUA
This 24-nucleotide non-coding RNA is filed under the name Arabidopsis thaliana (thale cress). Lineage: Eukaryota; Viridiplantae; Streptophyta; Magnoliopsida; Brassicales; Brassicaceae. The record is from RNAcentral.